ACCUGUUGAACUUAUAACCAUCAAUAGUCAUGAACCAAUAUGUGCCAGGCAAAUGAGGAUGCACACAGCCAGGGAUACUAGCCAAGAAUGUGAAAAGGACAGAGAUAAAUGCACUUCCUACAAUGCUUGGUGAGCCAAUAAUGGAACUGUUGUGGGACCUGUUGAACAAUCCAGAGGGACCUCGU
Molecule: long non-coding RNA, 185 nt
Organism: Polypterus senegalus (gray bichir)
Lineage: Eukaryota; Metazoa; Chordata; Cladistia; Polypteriformes; Polypteridae
Exons: 3
Source: RefSeq, a predicted model, not a curated record